Molecule: ribosomal RNA, 578 nt
Filed under: Brachycentrus nigrosoma
Lineage: Eukaryota; Metazoa; Arthropoda; Insecta; Trichoptera; Brachycentridae
Description: SSU rRNA
Rfam family: Eukaryotic small subunit ribosomal RNA
Source: RNAcentral
CUUAAUUCGACUCAACACGGGAAAACUCACCAGGCCCGGACACUGGAAGGAUUGACGGAUUAACAGCUCUUUCUCGAUUCGGUGGGUGGUGGUGCAUGGCCGCUCUUAGUUGGUGGAGCGAUUUGUGAGGUUAAUUCCGGUAACGAACGUAACUCUAGCCUAUUAAAUAGACGUGCAACCGGUAUCACGAGGGUCCGCGUGCGCGCGUUCCGUGGCGUUCGCGUCGCGUGCGUGCGUUUCGCGGUCUUCACUACCGGCGUACAAUGAAAAUCUUCUUAGAGGGACCGGCGGUNUAUAUAGCCGCACGAGAUUGAGCAAUAGCAGGUCUGUGAUGCCCUUAGAUGUCCUGGGCCGCACGCGCGCUACACUGAAGGGAUCAGCGUGUCCUCCUUGGCCUAACGGCCCGGGUAACCCGAUGAAACCCCUUCGUGAUAGGGAUUGGGGUUUGCAAUUCUCCCCCAUGAACGAGGAAUUCCUAGUAAAAGCGAGUCACCAGCUCGCGUUGAUUGCGUCCCUGCCCUUUGUACACACCGCCCGUCGCUACUACCGAUGGAUGAUUUGGUGAGGUCUUCGGACUG